Molecule: ribosomal RNA, 165 nt
Filed under: uncultured bacterium
Lineage: Bacteria
Description: partial 16S rRNA
Rfam family: Bacterial small subunit ribosomal RNA
Source: RNAcentral
UAAGGGAAUCUUCCACAAUGGGCGAAAGCCUGAUGGAGCAACGCCGCGUGUGUGAUGAAGGCUUUCGGGUCGUAAAGCACUGUUGUAUGGGAAGAACAGCUAGAAUAGGAAAUGAUUUUAGUUUGACGGUACCAUACCAGAAAGGGACGGCUAAAUACGUGCCAG